Molecule: ribosomal RNA, 183 nt
Filed under: uncultured bacterium
Lineage: Bacteria
Description: partial 16S ribosomal RNA
Rfam family: Bacterial small subunit ribosomal RNA
Source: RNAcentral
CAACUCGCCUACAUGAAGUCGGAGUUGCUAGUAAUCGCGGAUCAGAAUGCCGCGGUGAAUGCGUUCCCGGGUCUUGUACACACCGCCCGUCACACCAUGGAAGUUGGGGGCGCCCGAAGUUGCCUAAGAAAUAAGGUACCUAAGGCGAAACCAAUGACUGGGGUGAAGUCGUAACAAGGUAGC